GACGAACGCUGGCGGCGUGCUUAACACAUGCAAGUCGAACGGAAAGGCCCUGCUUUUGUGGGGUGCUCGAGUGGCGAACGGGUGAGUAACACGUGAGUAACCUGCCCUUGACUUUGGGAUAACUUCAGGAAACUGGGGCUAAUACCGGAUAGGAGCUCCUGCUGCAUGGUGGGGGUUGGAAAGUUUCGGCGUUUGGGGAUGGACGGGCGGCUUAUCAGCUUGUUGGUGGGGUAGUGGCUUACCAAGGCUUUGACGGGUAGCCGACCUGGGAGGGUGACCGGGCACAAUAGGCCUGAGGGAGGGACCAGAGGGCAACGGGAGGCAGGAGUGGCGAACAUGACACAAUGGGCCGGCGCAGGAUGCAGAGACGUCGGGUGCGGAAAGACGGUUUGUGGGGAAUAAACAGCGUCAGGCUGAGACGCAGCGGGAGUGACGGUAACGAGUAAAGAAGCACCGGCUAACUACGUG
RNAcentral lists this ribosomal RNA (468 nucleotides) under uncultured bacterium. RNAcentral's name for it is "partial 16S ribosomal RNA". It matches the Rfam family "Bacterial small subunit ribosomal RNA", at positions 28 to 507 of the family's 1533-position model. The record is from RNAcentral.